GCGGUAGAGGAGCGUCGUGUAAGCCGACGAAGGUGAGUCGAGAGGCUUGCUGGAGGUAUCACGAGUGCGAAUGCUGACAUGAGUAACGACAAGGGGAGUGAAAAACUCCCCCGCCGGAAGACCAAGGGUUUCUGUUCGACGCUAAUCGGAGCAGAGUGAGUCGGCCCCUAAGGCGAGGCCGAAAGGCGUAGUCGAUGGGAAACGGGUCAAUAUUCCCGUACCUCACAUGGUUGCGAUGGGGGGACGAAGAAGGCUAGGUGGGCCAGGCGUUGGUUGUCCUGGUGAAAGCCGGUAGGCUGGGAUCUUUGGCAAAUCCGGGAUCCCCAGGCCGAGAGGCGAGACGAAGGCACUACGGUGCCGAAGUCAUCGAUGCCACGCUUCCAGGAAAAGCCUCUAAGCUUCAGAUCAUGUGGGACCGUACCCCAAACCGACACAGGUGGUCAGGUAGAGAAUACCCAGGCGCUUGAGAGAACUCGGGUGAAGGAACUAGGCAAAAUGGUGCCGUAACUUCGGGAGAAGGCACGCCGCGUUAGUGUGAAGGCCCUCGCGGCCGGAGCACGAGGCGGUCGAAGAUACCAGGUGGCUGCAACUGUUUAUUAAAAACACAGCACUCUGCAAACGCGCAAGCGGACGUAUAGGGUGUGACGCCUGCCCGGUGCCGGAAGGUUAAUUGAUGGUGUUAGCGCAAGCGAAGCUCCUGAUCGAAGCCCCGGUAAACGGCGGCCGUAACUAUAACGGUCCUAAGGUAGCGAAAUUCCUUGUCGGGUAAGUUCCGACCUGCACGAAUGGCGUAAUGAUGGCCACGCUGUCUCCACCCGAGACUCAGUGAAAUUGAAAUCGCAGUGAAGAUGCUGUGUACCCGCGGCUAGACGGAAAGACCCCGUGAACCUUUACUACAGCUUCACACUGGAUGCUGAUGUUGCUUGUGUAGGAUAGCUGGGAGGCUUUGAAACCCGGACGCCAGUUCGGGUGGAGCCAACCUUGAAAUACCAGCCUGGCAUCAUUGGCGUUCUAACUCAGGUCCGUGAUCCGGAUCGAGGACAGUGUGUGGUGGGUAGUUUGACUGGGGCGGUCUCCUCCUAAAGAGUAACGGAGGAGCACGAAGGUACCCUCAGCACGGUUGGAAAUCGUGCAGUGAGUGCAAGAGCAUAAGGGUGCUUGACUGCGAGACAGACACGUCGAGCAGGUACGAAAGUAGGUUCUAGUGAUCCGGUGGUUCUGUAUGGAAGGGCCAUCGCUCAACGGAUAAAAGGUACUCCGGGGAUAACAGGCUGAUACCGCCCAAGAGUUCACAUCGACGGCGGUGUUUGGCACCUCGAUGUCGGCUCAUCACAUCCUGGGGCUGAAGUCGGUCCCAAGGGUAUGGCUGUUCGCCAUUUAAAGUGGUACGCGAGCUGGGUUUAGAACGUCGUGAGACAGUUCGGUCCCUAUCUGCCGUGGGCGUUGGACGUUUGAGAAGAGCUGCUCCUAGUACGAGAGGACCGGAGUGGACGCACCUCUGGUGUUCCGGUUGUCACGCCAGUGGCAUUGCCGGGUAGCUAUGUGCGGACAGGAUAACCGCUGAAGGCAUCUAAGCGGGAAGCCUCCUUCAAGAUGAGACGUCCCCGAGGCCUCGAGCCUCCUGAAGGGCCCAGCGAGACCAGCUGGUUGAUAGGCCGGGUGUGGAAGCGCUGCAAGGCGUUGAGCUAACCGGUACUAAUGGCCCGUGAGGCUUGACCAUAUAACACCCAAG
RNAcentral lists this ribosomal RNA (1732 nucleotides) under Halomonas heilongjiangensis. RNAcentral describes it as "bacterial LSU rRNA". It matches the Rfam family "Bacterial large subunit ribosomal RNA", at positions 1225 to 2925 of the family's 2925-position model. The record is from RNAcentral. Lineage: Bacteria; Pseudomonadati; Pseudomonadota; Gammaproteobacteria; Oceanospirillales; Halomonadaceae.